This 424-nucleotide ribosomal RNA is filed under the name uncultured bacterium. Its description in RNAcentral is "bacterial SSU rRNA". It matches the Rfam family "Bacterial small subunit ribosomal RNA", at positions 358 to 774 of the family's 1533-position model. The record is from RNAcentral.
GGAAUAUUGGUCAAUGGGCUUAAGCCUGACCGAGCAACGCCGCGUGAAUGAAGAAGGCCUUCGGGUUGUAAAAUUCUGUUAUAAGGGAAGAAAGGUGAUAGGAGGAAAUGACUAUCAAUUGACGGUACCUUAUGAGAAAGCCACGGCUAACUACGUGCCAGCAGCCGCGGUAAUACGUAGGUGGCAAGCGUUAUCCAGAAUUAUUGGGCGUAAAGAGCGCGCAGGUGGUUAAUUAAGUCUGAUGUGAAAGCCCACGGCUUAACCGUGGAGGGUCAUUGGAAACUGGUUGACUUGAGUGCAGAAGAGGGAAGUGGAAUUCCAUGUGUAGCGGUGAAAUGCGUAGAGAUAUGGAGGAACACCAGUGGCGAAGGCGGCUUCCUGGUCUGCAACUGACACUGAGGCGCGAAAGCGUGGGGAACGAACA